Molecule: ribosomal RNA, 1489 nt
Filed under: Lactiplantibacillus plantarum
Lineage: Bacteria; Bacillati; Bacillota; Bacilli; Lactobacillales; Lactobacillaceae
Description: bacterial SSU rRNA
Rfam family: Bacterial small subunit ribosomal RNA
Source: RNAcentral
GACGAACGCUGGCGGCGUGCCUAAUACAUGCAAGUCGAACGAACUCUGGUAUUGAUUGGUGCUUGCAUCAUGAUUUACAUUUGAGUGAGUGGCGAACUGGUGAGUAACACGUGGGAAACCUGCCCAGAAGCGGGGGAUAACACCUGGAAACAGAUGCUAAUACCGCAUAACAACUUGGACCGCAUGGUCCGAGUUUGAAAGAUGGCUUCGGCUAUCACUUUUGGAUGGUCCCGCGGCGUAUUAGCUAGAUGGUGAGGUAACGGCUCACCAUGGCAAUGAUACGUAGCCGACCUGAGAGGGUAAUCGGCCACAUUGGGACUGAGACACGGCCCAAACUCCUACGGGAGGCAGCAGUAGGGAAUCUUCCACAAUGGACGAAAGUCUGAUGGAGCAACGCCGCGUGAGUGAAGAAGGGUUUCGGCUCGUAAAACUCUGUUGUUAAAGAAGAACAUAUCUGAGAGUAACUGUUCAGGUAUUGACGGUAUUUAACCAGAAAGCCACGGCUAACUACGUGCCAGCAGCCGCGGUAAUACGUAGGUGGCAAGCGUUGUCCGGAUUUAUUGGGCGUAAAGCGAGCGCAGGCGGUUUUUUAAGUCUGAUGUGAAAGCCUUCGGCUCAACCGAAGAAGUGCAUCGGAAACUGGGAAACUUGAGUGCAGAAGAGGACAGUGGAACUCCAUGUGUAGCGGUGAAAUGCGUAGAUAUAUGGAGGAACACCAGUGGCGAAGGCGGCUGUCUGGUCUGUAACUGACGCUGAGGCUCGAAAGUAUGGGUAGCAAACAGGAUUAGAUACCCUGGUAGUCCAUACCGUAAACGAUGAAUGCUAAGUGUUGGAGGGUUUCCGCCCUUCAGUGCUGCAGCUAACGCAUUAAGCAUUCCGCCUGGGGAGUACGGCCGCAAGGCUGAAACUCAAAGGAAUUGACGGGGGCCCGCACAAGCGGUGGAGCAUGUGGUUUAAUUCGAAGCUACGCGAAGAACCUUACCAGGUCUUGACAUACUAUGCAAAUCUAAGAGAUUAGACGUUCCCUUCGGGGACAUGGAUACAGGUGGUGCAUGGUUGUCGUCAGCUCGUGUCGUGAGAUGUUGGGUUAAGUCCCGCAACGAGCGCAACCCUUAUUAUCAGUUGCCAGCAUUAAGUUGGGCACUCUGGUGAGACUGCCGGUGACAAACCGGAGGAAGGUGGGGAUGACGUCAAAUCAUCAUGCCCCUUAUGACCUGGGCUACACACGUGCUACAAUGGAUGGUACAACGAGUUGCGAACUCGCGAGAGUAAGCUAAUCUCUUAAAGCCAUUCUCAGUUCGGAUUGUAGGCUGCAACUCGCCUACAUGAAGUCGGAAUCGCUAGUAAUCGCGGAUCAGCAUGCCGCGGUGAAUACGUUCCCGGGCCUUGUACACACCGCCCGUCACACCAUGAGAGUUUGUAACACCCAAAGUCGGUGGGGUAACCUUUUAGGAACCAGCCGCCUAAGGUGGGACAGAUGAUUAGGGUG